GCCAGGUGUGGUGGCGCACUCCUGUAAUCCCAGCUACUGGGGAGGCUGAGGCAGGAGAAUCGCUUGAGCCCGGGAGGUGGAGGAUGCAGUGAGCCAAGAUCACACCACUGCACUCCAGCCUGGGCAACAAGAGCGAAACUCUGUCUCAA
This 149-nucleotide non-coding RNA is filed under the name Gorilla gorilla gorilla (western lowland gorilla). Lineage: Eukaryota; Metazoa; Chordata; Mammalia; Primates; Hominidae. The record is from Rfam by way of RNAcentral.